RNAcentral lists this ribosomal RNA (497 nucleotides) under uncultured bacterium. RNAcentral describes it as "partial 16S ribosomal RNA". It matches the Rfam family "Bacterial small subunit ribosomal RNA", at positions 28 to 507 of the family's 1533-position model. The record is from RNAcentral.
GAUGAACGCUGGCGGCGUGCCUAAUACAUGCAAGUCGAGCGAACAGACGAGGAGCUUGCUCCUUUGACGUUAGCGGCGGACGGGUGAGUAACACGUAGGUAACCUACCUAUAAGACUGGGAUAACUUCGGGAAACCGGAGCUAAUACCGGAUAAUAUUUCGAACCGCAUGGUUCGAUAGUGAAAGAUGGCUUUGCUAUCACUUAUAGAUGGACCUGCGCCGUAUUAGCUAGUUGGUAAGGUAACGGCUUACCAAGGCAACGAUACGUAGCCGACCUGAGAGGGUGAUCGGCCACACUGGAACUGAGACACGGUCCAGACUCCUACGGGAGGCAGCAGUAGGGAAUCUUCCGCAAUGGGCGAAAGCCUGACGGAGCAACGCCGCGUGAGUGAUGAAGGUCUUCGGAUCGUAAAACUCUGUUAUUAGGGAAGAACAAACGUGUAAGUAACUGUGCACGUCUAGACGGUACCUAAUCAGAAAGCCACGGCUAACUACGUG